This 482-nucleotide ribosomal RNA is filed under the name uncultured bacterium. Its description in RNAcentral is "partial 16S ribosomal RNA". It matches the Rfam family "Bacterial small subunit ribosomal RNA", at positions 30 to 507 of the family's 1533-position model. The record is from RNAcentral.
AUUGAACGCUGGCGGCAUGCCUUACACAUGCAAGUCGAACGGUAACAGGUCUUCGGAUGCUGACGAGUGGCGAACGGGUGAGUAAUACAUCGGAACGUGCCCGAUCGUGGGGGAUAACGAGGCGAAAGCUUUGCUAAUACCGCAUACGAUCUACGGAUGAAAGCGGGGGAUCUUCGGACCUCGCGCGGACGGAGCGGCCGAUGGCAGAUUAGGUAGUUGGUGGGAUAAAAGCUUACCAAGCCGACGAUCUGUAGCUGGUCUGAGAGGAUGAUCAGCCACACUGGGACUGAGACACGGCCCAGACUCCUACGGGAGGCAGCAGUGGGGAAUUUUGGACAAUGGGCGAAAGCCUGAUCCAGCCAUGCCGCGUGCAGGAUGAAGGCCUUCGGGUUGUAAAAUGCUUUUGUACGGAACGAAAAGCCUCUUUCUAAUAAAGAGGGGUCAUGACGGUACCGGAAGAAUAAGCACCGGCUAACUACGUG